This 905-nucleotide unclassified non-coding RNA is filed under the name Hevea brasiliensis (rubber tree). The record is from RNAcentral. Lineage: Eukaryota; Viridiplantae; Streptophyta; Magnoliopsida; Malpighiales; Euphorbiaceae.
AAAAGAUUUGAUAAACUAUUUGUUUACUGUGUAGAUCUAUGCUUCGUUAAAUCAUAGUCUUAGAGACAUAAAAAAAGCCCUCCUAUGUUUUUCACUUUUAUUGGCGUUGCUCCUUGUCAUGUAUGAACCCUUAGGAUUGACUGGGAGCUUCUCUUGCAUGUCCUUUUUCUGAUAGUGAAUAUGUUUUUACUUUUCAAAAUACAGGUCUUGAAAAAAUCUGGGAUGUAAAGCCAUUGGUCAAUGGUAAAGAGAUUAUGAGUGUUUUGCAGCUUAAAUCUGGAGGACCACUUGUUAGGGAGUGGGUAAGGCAUUCUUUCCUACACUUGGAGAACCACUAUAGAACUUGUUGAUUCUAAUUUAUUCCCUUUUUGCAGCAACAAAAAUUGCUGGCAUGGCAGCUUGCCCAUCCCACAGGAACUGCAGAGGAAUGCCUUGAUUGGAUGAAGCAAACACAUUUGAAGCGUGCAAGAAUACGGUAAUCAUUCUACUGAAAUUCAUCUUAUUCUCUACUUAACAGAAGAUCUCAUCUGAGCUGACUGGCCAUUGCUUUUCAAUUUAGCACGUCUUCUUAGAUCCCAUGAACAUUCAUGUAGCUUCGGACCAUCGUGGCUGCCGGAGGAGUCUGGGAACUUUAUAUAGGCAGCUAAGAGCAUUCAUUUAUUUCCAAUAACAAUUUUGUAUAGAACUUCAAAAAUGUCCUUGAACUUGUGCCAGAGAAUAUUUUGUUCUCUUGAUGUAUUAGGUAUAUUAUUAGUUCUUGAUGACUGUUGAGAAAAUUCUCCUUAAAAUAUAUUUUAAAGGAUAUUAAAAAUAAUUCUCAUUCUUUUUCUUUAAUUUAUUCCCUGUAAAUAAAAUUAUCGCCUUCUUAUAAUCCAACUAAAAAUGUCAAGUUCCUGGAGUUCUUG